RNAcentral lists this ribosomal RNA (532 nucleotides) under uncultured fungus. Its description in RNAcentral is "SSU rRNA". It matches the Rfam family "Eukaryotic small subunit ribosomal RNA", at positions 109 to 644 of the family's 1831-position model. Lineage: Eukaryota; Fungi. The record is from RNAcentral.
GUUAUCGUUUAUUUGAUAGUACCUUACUACUUGGAUAACCGUGGUAAUUCUAGAGCUAAUACAUGCUGAAAACCCCAACUUCGGGAGGGGUGUAUUUAUUAGAUAAAAAACCAACGCCCUUCGGGGCUUCUUGGUGAUUCAUGAUAACUUAACGGAUCGCAUGGCCUUGCGCCGGCGACGGUUCAUUCAAAUUUCUGCCCUAUCAACUUUCGAUGGUAAGGUAUUGGCUUACCAUGGUUUCAACGGGUAACGGGGAAUUAGGGUUCGAUUCCGGAGAGGGAGCCUGAGAAACGGCUACCACAUCCAAGGAAGGCAGCAGGCGCGCAAAUUAUCCAAUCCCGACACGGGGAGAUAGUGACAAUAAAUACUGAUACAGGGCUCUUCUGGGUCUUGUAAUUGGAAUGAGUACAAUUUAAACCUCUUAACGAGGAACAAUUGGAGGGCAAGUCUGGUGCCAGCAGCCGCGGUAAUUCCAGCUCCAAUAGCGUAUAUUAAAGUUGUUGCAGUUAAAAAGCUCGUAGUUGAACCUUGG